Alexandromys fortis (reed vole) is the source of this 759-nucleotide long non-coding RNA. RefSeq lists it as uncharacterized. Lineage: Eukaryota; Metazoa; Chordata; Mammalia; Rodentia; Cricetidae. The record is from RefSeq and is a predicted model, not a curated record. The transcript has 2 exons.
AAACCAAUAACUCCUGGUGACUUCCUGAGCCAUGACACCAUAAUGGCAGGCUGGAGCAGGAAGGUCGAGAGCCUGGUGCUACAGGACCUGCUGGCAGGGCCCUCUGGCUUACGUACGUGUAAAUAAAUCUAUAGUGUAAAAAUAGAGGGAGGGUUCCUCCCGCACCCCCACAAGAUUUCUUCACUUUUCAAAGACUUCGGGACACCUGCAUCCAUGCAGAAUGAGAACCCGUGUGGCAGUGAGGCAGCCACCUGCUUUGUCUGCCGUGUCUCCUCAUUGUAGGGAGAGGGACAAGGUACCUGCCAGUGGACUGCGCAGGUCGGGCAUUUUAUUGUGGCUAUCUUGUCUGUCCCCUUACUCGGGGCUACAAAGCAAAGCUAGAAAGGCCAGGCCACGGAUGCCAGUCCCAGACUGACCAUAUAUGCACUGUGUGUAGACUGUUAUAUAACCCAAUCAGGCCACCCUUAUGACUGUACACUCACUGUGUGUGGGCUGUUAUAUAAUCAAAUCAGGUCACCCUCGUGACUGUACACUCAGUGUGUGUGCGCGUGUGCAAAAGUGGUUAUAUAAUCCAAUCAGGUCACUGUCAUGACUAUAUAUAUACUCAUUGUGUAUAAGGCUGUUUAUAUAAUCAACUCAGGUCACCCUUGUGACCAUAUUCUCACUAUGUGUAGGCUGUUAUAUAAUCCAAUCAGGUCUCACUUAUGAUUGUACACUCACUGUGUGUGUGCGUAAAAGCUAUUAAAUAAUCAAACCAGA